This 73-nucleotide transfer RNA is filed under the name Dictyocaulus viviparus (bovine lungworm). It matches the Rfam family "tRNA". From Rfam's summary of the family: Transfer RNA (tRNA) molecules are approximately 80 nucleotides in length. The record is from Rfam by way of RNAcentral. Lineage: Eukaryota; Metazoa; Nematoda; Chromadorea; Rhabditida; Metastrongylidae.
GACUCGGGAGUGUAAUGGAUCAGCACGGCAGAUUGGAUAUUUGUAAGUGCGGGUUCGAGUCCCGCUUGAGGCA